RNAcentral lists this microRNA precursor (91 nucleotides) under Cavia porcellus (domestic guinea pig). RNAcentral describes it as "miRNA (ENSCPOG00000036555.1)". The record is from RNAcentral. Lineage: Eukaryota; Metazoa; Chordata; Mammalia; Rodentia; Caviidae.
UGGCCCUAACUAUGAUAGAACAUGAGAAUGCUGUGAACAUGGUAGCACACAUCUAUGAUCCCAGCACUCUGGGAGGCUGAGGCAGGAGGAU